GUCUCUCACAGUGGAAAUGCACCUAUGCUGAAAAUUGUAGACCCCUCCAUGAUUUCUAAGUAAGAGAACUUGCAAAAUCACAGGGUGAUCAAAUACUUAUUGACCUCACUGUAUAUCGAACCAGGCAAUUGGCUUGUCAGCUGAAUGAGGUUUGUUUGAGCAUGUUAAUCCGCAAACUGUGUCGUAGACUGGCCUUCUUGGAUUGGAAUUGGGGAAGCCCGAUUUAAGAUCAUAUUUUCUGAAUAUGGGCAGUGGUGCCCAACUAGGCUAGACACCUAACAGUUAUUUGGGGAACUGACUUGAUUUGGUUUUUGAAGACCUCAGUGUAAUCCUGAGUUUAAGAUACAGCUAUUGAACUUUUCAUAAGAAUUUACCCUUCCAGAACUCCAUUACCCAGAACAAUGUGGUAGCUAGUCAACUUGCCAUUGGUCAUCUAAACCUCCCAGCAGGCUUUUUUGGCCCCAGAAUCCUUCUGUGGUCUGUUUCUCUCCCAAGGCGAUGCCUUCAGGUAGCAGAACGUAAGUCAUGAAUGACUUACGUUCUGCAUCUGGCUGCCAUAUAUCUUCAACUGAUUGGGACCUGCCUAAUGAAAGACUCCCUGCGGCCCAAUGAGGGUAACUGAUUGUCUUCCGGCUGGGAUUAUUGUGUGAUCAGUGGAGGACUGCUGUUUGCUUACUCACCACACUGUGCCAGUCCCAGGGAAAACAGAUGGAGCUUAUAAAGCAUCAAAGACAAAACAUGUGGUUUAUUCAAGUUGCCAUAAAAUGUCUAAUUGAUUCAUGUGACAGCCAAUCAUAUAAAAAUGCUGCUCAUAAAGGGUAUGUGAAACACUUAGAGAACUGGAUGUGUUGGCCAAUCAGAAUAUCUUCAUUCCUGUAAUGUCAUUAUUUUGCCUGCCUGAAAAACACAAUAGGAAAAUCUUCAAAAGGAUAAGGAGCUCAGAGAUCAGAGAAGCGGGAAAUUGAGUGAAUUGCAUUCUCAUAUGUUUUUUCAUUUUGGGAAUAAUACUGUGCUGAGAGGCAUAUCCAGCCUGACACUGACUCCAGAUACGACCCAUAUUGGAACAGGAAACAAAGAGCAAAAGAGACAUUCAUGGAUGCAUGACUGAGGAUUUUUAGUGACAUCAGCAGUUCUGACAAGAAUGUGAAGGUGCUGACAUCAUCCUCUCAGUGUCACCCGGGUUUCCUAGAAGAGAGGCAGGUUAUCCUGGGGCUGCACGUCUUCUGAGAUCAUCGGUGCACUCACUCAAAGUACCAUAUGCUGAUGUAUGAGUGUUUCUAUUCAGAAAAUCCCCAGUAAUCUGGUAGAGGGUUUAUUAUGUACACCUGCUAAAUGCACACUGCCUCGUUCUCCAGACAGAGAAUCAUGUGGCUGUAAUUUGAGUCCCACUCAAAGUUCAAAAAGCAAUGCAGCAGAUAAGAAGCGGUGUGAUUAUUGGUGCCACGCGGUUCUUGCACCUCAGAAAUAGCCAUUUCACACACCACAGUGUCCAGAAUUUAUGGAGAAUGGUGUGAUGAUCAAAAAAUCAAGUCGAUGGCAUUUCUGUGGCCAGAAGAUUGUCAAUGACAGAGGCCAGAGGAGAAUGGGCAGACAUUUUAAAGUUAAAAUUUAGUACAAGUCAGUAUGGCAGUGAUGUGCUGAAUACCUCAUUUACCUUCAAGGAGGUUCUAGAUCCUGCCCGGAAGCAGAUAAUUAAAGAGGUGGCCACAGAGUGUGUAUUUGUCUGUGGUGAAGCUGCACCAUCAGUGAAGCUGCACCUUCUCCCUGAAUAGACGUGGCUGUCAGCUCUCCUUCCACACACACUGAUCAGACUGCGAUCGCAGGCCGGCUGCAAAGACCCUCUCCCUUGGAUCUCUUUGCCAUCAACCAGCCCCUGGGUGUGGACCGGUUUGUCCAUCUGCCUGACCCAGUCUGGGCUCCUGAUUCUUUUUCUGUCCAUUUUCCAUCUCUCUCUUUCUCUUCCCCUCUCUCUCUCCCUCUCUCCUUCUUUCUCCCACUCCCGAAUAGGCCGAUAUGGUCACCCAUGUGUCUGAGUACUUUUGCAGGCUCCAGCUCCCAUGAUUCAUAUGUUACCCUCCUCCCAAGUCCGUUCCCCUCCCGUUUUCCACGAUGGAUGCCCGUUUGCCAGUGAUUCCCUCCGUGGCUCCGCCCCCGUCACCGUGGUUGCACAGCUGAUUUGCAGUGUUCCGGAAUGUGGCUGCUCUCCGCCCCCUUGGGGACUGGGAGGACUGGGAGACAUGCUGGCUCAUCAGCCCUGGCUGGUCCCUCACUAACUGCCAAGCUGUAACACCAGCAGCAUCACUGCUGUUCUCUGAAAAGAAGAGCGGAGCAGGGAUAGUUGCCGGAAGCGGAGGAAGCUGCGGAUUAUCGGUCCUCCGCGCGGCAGGAGCCAGAGCGUGGCAGAUGGGCAGACGUCCUGGCAUAUUGAAACAGCCUCUCGCUACAUCUCCACUCAAUCAAACAGAUGGGCUCACUCAGCCUGCCUGGUAGCACCACACCACUGAGGACACUUCAGCUGAGGCCUAAGAGUCAGGCCGUGUUCCCCAGCCAGGCACCAAAGCACCAGCUCUCCAGU
Molecule: non-coding RNA, 2575 nt
Organism: Paramormyrops kingsleyae
Lineage: Eukaryota; Metazoa; Chordata; Actinopteri; Osteoglossiformes; Mormyridae
Source: RefSeq, a predicted model, not a curated record